UACGGAGGAUGCAAGCGUUAUCCGGAUUCAUUGGGUUUAAAGGGUGCGUAGGCGGAAUAAUAAGUCAGUGGUGAAAGCCUGUGGCUCAACCAUAGAAUUGCCAUUGAUACUGUUAUUCUUGAGUAUAGUUGAAGUGGGCGGAAUGUGUAAUGUAGCGGUGAAAUGCUUAGAUAUUACACAGAACACCAAUUGCGAAGGCAGCUCACUAAGCUGUUACUGACGCUGAGGCACGAAAGCGUGGGGAGCAAACAGGAUUAGAUACCCUGGUAGUCCACGCUGUAAACGAUGAUCACUCGUUGUUGGCGAUACACCGUCAGCGACUGAGCGAAAGCAAUAAGUGAUCCACCUGGGGAGUACGGCGGCAACGCUGAA
This 372-nucleotide ribosomal RNA is filed under the name uncultured bacterium. RNAcentral describes it as "bacterial SSU rRNA". It matches the Rfam family "Bacterial small subunit ribosomal RNA", at positions 524 to 898 of the family's 1533-position model. The record is from RNAcentral.